Long non-coding RNA from Eucalyptus grandis, 1980 nucleotides. RefSeq lists it as uncharacterized. The record is from RefSeq and is a predicted model, not a curated record. Lineage: Eukaryota; Viridiplantae; Streptophyta; Magnoliopsida; Myrtales; Myrtaceae. The transcript is spliced from 6 exons.
GUGAUGAGCUCCGGUCGCUGCUAGAGCUUCCUGCGGGCUUAGGAUAUCUGUGCGUCACUUGUCUGAGUCUUGGACUGCCACAACUUCUUAGCCACAAGGCCCUCAUCCACCUAGAAAAACUCCAUCUUGAGGUACGCCAUUUACUUGAAGACAUCCACAAGCUUUCCUCAAUACCACUGAAACUCUGUUUUGAGGAGUGGGAUAAGCUGACAUCACUUACGCUCAGCGGACUCAUGCACUUUGAAGAGCUUUCAAUAAAAAAGUGCAGUUCCUUGGAGUUCAUAUCUUUACAGGACUGCAAUUCCAUUGAAAGGCUUCGCUGUCUAGAAUUACCGUGUUUGAAGGAAUUAAAGGCUGUUGGGUGCGGCAAUCUAGUCAAAAUUGAAGGUCUUGAUGGUGCAGAGUUCUUAGAAAAGUUGGAUUUUGGGGGAUGCAAAUCAAUGGAGACUUUGCCAGAUUUGACGGGAUGUGAGAAGUUACGAUCUCUAAGAGUUCGAGACUGCAAGAAACUUACUCAGCUUUAGGGACUUGAAAUGUUGAAUUUAAUUGAUUUGGAUAUUUCUGGUUGUGACUCAUUGGAAGCAAUACCGAAAUUAUCCGGAACCCGCAUCUUUAGAAAUUAUGAACUGUUUUGAGUUCUCUAUGGAAAUAUUAUCUUGCAGUGAUAAUGAUGUGAGGAAUCUUAUACCCAUAUUACAACAGUGAGACUAGUCAUGUUUCUUCAACAGAGGAUUCUGUACUUUCCUAAAUUGCUGGUCUUGCACAAUUGAAGGAGUGGAGGAGUUGGUCAUAGAAGCUCACAUGAUGGUUCAGCCAAGAUCAAAAUGUAGACCCAAAUGUCAAUAGAAGGCAUAGUUUGGUUGGUCUAUGUAAUGAUCAAGGCUUACUUUGGGACUUAAAUUCAAUCAGCUGUAUUGAUGACCUUUUGCAUAACUGGACAAUUUUUUGCCCAUCUGUGAAACAAGCUGGGGUGAGGAGCUCAAGAAUUUGCUAAUUAGUUUACAUCCCAUUUGAUCAUAUUGUUGUCAUGGAAUUAUUUUAUCACAUGACUAAAUUGGGUGUGGCUCACUUGGUUGAGGAACUUCAAAUUCCAUACUUGAGACCAAUUUUGCAGAGAAAGCAUCAGCAACAGUUGAGGUGCCAAACUUGAAGAGGCUCGUGGGCCAAGCGGAAUGUUCUGAGGAAGUUUUGAUGCUUGUGAAGAUCCAAAACACUUCAUCUGGUCUCAACAGCAUAACCUGAAUGAUAGUAAAUAGUUGUUUGAUGUGGUUGCAUUCUAAGGAUAUCAUUCCAAAACCCGAUGAGGCUAUGCAGAGUUCUCAUGUUUGCAGUAUUGAAUUAGUGAAGUUGAAACUGACCUCCUCACAAUCUAUCCCGAAUUGCUGAUUUUUGCUGAUUGGAUAUUGCCAAUCAUCAAGUAACAAAUUCAAGCUGCAUUUCAUGGAACUUGGAGAAAGUCCCCAAACACCACACGAUGGAGAUGCUUUCAGGAAUGAGCUAUGUCAUUAUGAAAAUGUAUUCUGAACCUAGUGGCGUUUAUCUUGUGCUCCGUGUUGUUAAUACUCUUCAAAGGAUUCUGGAUAUGAAGCAGCCUCUUCUCAUGUGGGGUAUUUGUCCUUUGCAAGCACAAAUCGCUUGCAGGAAGACCGCACGUGCAGGUGGUUUUAUUUGUGCAAGUUAAGCAUAAAAUGAGAUUUGUCGACGAGAUUACCAGUUAGAUGUCCACUUCAGGCUACAAUUUUGCGACUAGAAAAAGCGAAUGCCAUGGAAUCAACAAAAAAUCUGUCAAUUGCAGCCAAGAGUUUCAAUGAAAAGGUUUACAAGAAGACAGUAGUUUCUCAUUUGGUUGAAUUUUGAAGACAAAAGAAAGGUGUUCAGUAGUGUAAAAUCAUCUCUCUGGUCUGCUGUUACAGCAGAAAAUUCAUAUGUCCGCAUUUUGGAAUCACUUUUAUUGUAUAAUCUCAAACUUGAUUUAUUUAA